Molecule: ribosomal RNA, 446 nt
Filed under: uncultured bacterium
Lineage: Bacteria
Description: SSU rRNA
Rfam family: Bacterial small subunit ribosomal RNA
Source: RNAcentral
AGAGCGAACGCUGGCGGCAGGCCUAACACAUGCAAGUCGAGCGCCCGUAGCAAUACGGGAGCGGCAGACGGGAUAGUAACACGUGGGAACGCGCCCUUCGGUUCGGAAUAACUCAGGGAAACUUGAGCUAAUACCGAAUACGCCCUUACGGGGAAAGAUUUAUUGCCGAAGGAACGGCCCGCGUCCGAUUAGCUAGUUGGUGAGGUAAUGGCUCACCAAGGCUACGAUCGGUAGCUGGUCUGAGAGGAUGACCAGCAUCACUGGGACUGAGACACGGCCCAGACUCCUACGGGAGGCAGCAGUGGGGAAUAUUGGACAAUGGGCGAAAGCCUGAUCCAGCCAUGCCGCGUGGAUGAUGAAGGCCUUAGGGUUGUAAAGUCCUUUUAACGGGGAAGAUAAUGACGGUACCGUAGAAUAAGCCCGGCUAACUUCGUGCCAGCAGCCGC